This 253-nucleotide ribosomal RNA is filed under the name uncultured bacterium. Its description in RNAcentral is "partial 16S ribosomal RNA". It matches the Rfam family "Bacterial small subunit ribosomal RNA", at positions 524 to 776 of the family's 1533-position model. The record is from RNAcentral.
UACAUAGGGGUCAAGCGUUAUCCGGAAUUAUUGGGCGUAAAGAGCUCGUAGGCGGUUUGUCGCGUCUGCUGUGAAAACUGGAGGCUCAACCUCCAGCCUGCAGUGGGUACGGGCAGACUAGAGUGCGGUAGGGGAGAUUGGAAUUCCUGGUGUAGCGGUGGAAUGCGCAGAUAUCAGGAGGAACACCGAUGGCGAAGGCAGGUCACUGGGCCGCAACUGACGCUGAGGAGCGAAAGCAUGGGGAGCGAACAGG